AAAAACCCUAGCUUACGCCGCCGCUACUCUCUCUCGCCGUUCUCGCUGUUCUCUCUCUCUCUCUCUCUCUCUCUCCGGCGUCGCCGCUCUCUCACUAACGCUCUCUCUCUCUCUCACUAAGAUCUCACAAAUCUUUUAGGGGCAUAGAUGUAAGCUGCAAAAGGCAUCAAAGAUCUCACAGAUCUGUUCCUUGGAUUUUCAAAAAUCCUAGACCACUUUCACAGAGAACAAGAUUCAAGCACUUGAUUUCUUAGCAUCGACUUCUUCGAGUGCAAUGGGACCUCGUUUGAUCCACCAUGAGACUCCUAUUGUUGCUUCAUCUGCUCCUCCUGCGGUUGCCCCAUCACCAAACAUGAACAAUCUUGGACAUGCUUGUGUUGCUCAAUACAAUUCCAUGGCCUUAACUGAGUGAAGCGACAUCAACAGGUGCCAUAUGCCAGCUCUACAUGGAGGGAUUGCUUUGAAGUCUUGAUAUAUAUAUAUAUAUUAAUUGAAAAGGUGGGAAGGGGCGACCGGUGUAGUUUUUCCCUUUGGGCGUUACCAUCGGGGUUUUCACCCGCUGUGGCUACUGCUUGGGAAGGCGAGCCCGUCACCACAACCUCACAAAGGUGUGAGCCAGUAGAGCCCCUUCAAAGUAGCAUCUGGUUCACGCAUCUAUUACCGCAAGCGGAUUCGAACACGCGACCACUAGGAUGAAAUGAAUUCUUCUACCAACUCAACUACCACCCUUGUGGUUGAAUCUAAUUUUAUAUAUAUGUGUAUAUAUGUAUUUAUAUAUUGCUUUAUCUUUUUAGUUAUUCUUUAUGUUCCUCUAAAUGGUUGGUCUUGAAUAUUCUCAGGUCCAACUUUUACUAAGUGAUGUUCUCAAAAAUAAUUCCCAAGAUAUUUGGUGGACAUUACUUGUAAUUUCUUUUUGGGAUUUUAUGAAUUAUGGUAAAUAUUAUAUGCUUAAAUGUUUUUUUUCCCC
Molecule: non-coding RNA, 967 nt
Organism: Corylus avellana
Lineage: Eukaryota; Viridiplantae; Streptophyta; Magnoliopsida; Fagales; Betulaceae
Source: RefSeq, a predicted model, not a curated record